GAGUGGUCAUCAGACUUCAAUUUCACAGACUAGAAUUGAGAAAUGGAACAAAACCUUGGGAUACCAGCCUUCCAUUUUGUGCAUAUAAUAAACGAGUAAAAGGCCGGGCGCGGUGGCUCACGUCUAUAAUCCUGCACUUUGAGAGGCUGAGGCGGGCGGAUCGUGAGGUCAGGAGAUCAAGACGAUCCUGGCUAACACAGUGAAACCCUGUCUCUACUAAAAAUACAAAAAAUUAGCCGGGCAUGGUGGCGGGCGCCUGUAAUCCCAGCUGCUCAGGAGGCUGAGGCAGGAGAACGGCAUGAACCCGGGAGGCGGAGCUUGCAAUGAGCCAAGGUCAUGUCACUGCACUCCAGCCUGGGCGACAGAGUGAGACUCUGUCUCAAAUAAAUAAAUAAAUAAAUAAAUAAAAGGUCUACAAGGAUAUAAAACAAUAUUAAAAUC
Homo sapiens (human) is the source of this 441-nucleotide long non-coding RNA. Ensembl annotates it as PSMD6 antisense RNA 1. Its record names the gene PSMD6-AS1. The record is from Ensembl. Lineage: Eukaryota; Metazoa; Chordata; Mammalia; Primates; Hominidae.